UUCAGCCGGCUAGACUAGAGAAACUAUUGAUCCAGUUUUUGCUGGGGGAAAAUCCUAUUUAAAGGUAGACUCACUUGCCUGUGCUCGGGCCAGUUUCUUCUCUUCUAUUCUCUUCUCUUCUCUUCCCUCACCGCCCAUAGUUACAUCAACAAUUCUAGUUAUGUAACAUUUUCAUUGAUAUUCACUUAGUUUACUACUCUACUUGCCAAAAAAAAAAAAAAAAAUGAGACCAAGUCGAUUCACACCAGUCACAGAGCUUGUCAACAUGUUGGAUGUCGAAAUGGAGAUUAGAGAGGUACGGAGCCUAUCGCCCGAGGGAUGCUAUGGCGAUAUCAUCACGCUAGCCCCCUACGAACGAAUAGAAAUAAGUGCGAGAUUGUUUCACCAAAGAUGUAUCGAUUCAUCAAGGUCUUCUCUUCUCAAAAUAUUCAUCGGUGACCACCAAACAAACCGUGUAUUGAAGCCGUAUCAAUUCAUCGCUUACUCGAGGAUCGUAUUCAGUAGGGAUCAUCAGAAUCCACAGCUCAUCUUUAUUAGAGGGCUUAGAUCCUCUUUCUUGUAUAGGUUCAAGGGCUUGCGUUUUCUUGUGGGGAAGAACAACUACAACGGGAUGCCGGAAGAAGAGAUCCAUUGAGUUACAAUGAUUUGAAAGCAGCGUUAAGAAAUUAUGAACUCUUUAUGCUCUUAUCCUGUUUAAUAUUGUAAUUUAUAAUUUUAAAAAUGUCACCGCCAUAUUAUUGUUGUGAUAUUUUUUUUGAGUGUGUAAAUAUUGGUAUAUGUACAACAAAAAACUUUAAAUUA
Camellia sinensis is the source of this 801-nucleotide long non-coding RNA. RefSeq lists it as uncharacterized. The record is from RefSeq and is a predicted model, not a curated record. NCBI's taxonomy places the organism in Eukaryota, Viridiplantae, Streptophyta, Magnoliopsida, Ericales, Theaceae.